CUCCUUUGACGUUAGCGGCGGACGGGUGAGUAACACGUGGGUAACCUACCUAUAAGACUGGGAUAACUUCGGGAAACCGGAGCUAAUACCGGAUAAUAUUUCGAACCGCAUGGUUCGAUAGUGAAAGGUGGUUUUGCUAUCACUUAUAGAUGGACCCGCGCCGUAUUAGCUAGUUGGUAAGGUAACGGCUUACCAAGGCGACGAUACGUAGCCGACCUGAGAGGGUGAUCGGCCACACUGGAACUGAGACACGGCCCAGACUCCUACGGGAGGCAGCAGGC
RNAcentral lists this ribosomal RNA (281 nucleotides) under uncultured Staphylococcus sp. Its description in RNAcentral is "partial 16S ribosomal RNA". It matches the Rfam family "Bacterial small subunit ribosomal RNA", at positions 81 to 354 of the family's 1533-position model. The record is from RNAcentral. Lineage: Bacteria; Bacillati; Bacillota; Bacilli; Caryophanales; Staphylococcaceae.